AUUCUUCGGGUCGUCCUGUGAUAACUGCUUUGUCGGUUGUCCCAAUCGUGUUUGUGACAAAAUAUCCGGAAAUUGUAGUCCUUGCCUCAACGGCUUCUAUGGGGUGAAGUGUGAUCGGUUAUGUUUCUCAAAUUGUGAAAACAACACAUGCACACAAAAUGAAGGGAAAUGUACAGCGUGCAAACCUGGAUAUUAUGGUGAUUUCUGCAACACAAGCUGCCCGUCCAAUUGUAAAGGGGAUACUUGUAAUCAGACGAGUGGGUUAUGUACAGCGUGUACUCCCGGGUAUUAUGGAAGCAAUUGCAAUCAAAAUUGCUUGUUCAACUGUAAAGACAACCUAUGUAUGCAAUUCAAUG
Long non-coding RNA from Mizuhopecten yessoensis (Yesso scallop), 356 nucleotides. RefSeq lists it as uncharacterized. The transcript has 4 exons. The record is from RefSeq and is a predicted model, not a curated record. Lineage: Eukaryota; Metazoa; Mollusca; Bivalvia; Pectinida; Pectinidae.